GAUGAACGCUGGCGGCGUGCCUAAUACAUGCAAGUCGAGCGAACGGACGAGAAGCUUGCUUCUCUGAUGUUAGCGGCGGACGGGUGAGUAACACGUGGAUAACCUACCUAUAAGACUGGGAUAACUUCGGGAAACCGGAGCUAAUACCGGAUAAUAUUUUGAACCGCAUGGUUCAAAAGUGAAAGACGGUCUUGCUGUCACUUAUAGAUGGAUCCGCGCUGCAUUAGCUAGUUGGUAAGGUAACGGCUUACCAAGGCAACGAUGCAUAGCCGACCUGAGAGGGUGAUCGGCCACACUGGAACUGAGACACGGUCCAGACUCCUACGGGAGGCAGCAGUAGGGAAUCUUCCGGGAGGGGGGAGAGGCUGACGGAGCAACGCCGCGUGAGUGAUGAAGGUCUUCGGAUCGUAAAACUCUGUUAUUAGGGAAGAGGAUAUGUGUAAGUAACUGUGCACAUCUUGGCGGUACCUAGUCAGAAAGCCACGGCUAACUACGUG
RNAcentral lists this ribosomal RNA (497 nucleotides) under uncultured bacterium. RNAcentral's name for it is "partial 16S ribosomal RNA". It matches the Rfam family "Bacterial small subunit ribosomal RNA", at positions 28 to 507 of the family's 1533-position model. The record is from RNAcentral.